Long non-coding RNA from Venturia canescens, 579 nucleotides. RefSeq lists it as uncharacterized. The record is from RefSeq and is a predicted model, not a curated record. NCBI's taxonomy places the organism in Eukaryota, Metazoa, Arthropoda, Insecta, Hymenoptera, Ichneumonidae. The transcript has 2 exons.
UAGCGAGCCGCGGUACACGCCGAGGAGAAUUAACCUGAAGAGCAAAAGCACUUAGAUACUCGAAAUUCCAUUCAAUGAAGGAGAAAGAACUAAGGGACGCAAUGAAAUGGAAAGAGAUCUAGAGAGAAGUCUAGACUCCGAGGAUGAUGACAUCUCAAAACGUACGAAUGUACACGUGCAUCGACUGUUGGAAUUGAAUAUAAGUGGAAUAAGAAUCAACGACGAUCUUGCUGAUGACAACGAUUAUGCUACUGACGAUACACGGAUCUCAAACUCUGACAUUCCUGACCGGUUUUCGUCCUCAAACGAAACGAAGAGCUCGUCGAGUACUUAUUCUCAAGGAAAUCAUAACAAGCCACAGAUAUGUUUACGAGACUCCCCGUGUUUCAAUCGUUUCGUAGAAUUCGCGAAAACGCACGUUCGUUUUUCAAAUUGAUUAAAAUUAUUGAAAAGCUAGCUCAGAGCUUGGAAUUUCGUUGUUAAAACAAUGUUGGAAUUACCGUAUCGCUGAACAGCAUUGUAAUUCAAUAGAACAUUUUAUUUUAAUGAAUAAACUGAACGUUUUCUAGAACUUUAAAA